RNAcentral lists this ribosomal RNA (164 nucleotides) under uncultured bacterium. RNAcentral describes it as "partial 16S rRNA". It matches the Rfam family "Bacterial small subunit ribosomal RNA", at positions 355 to 510 of the family's 1533-position model. The record is from RNAcentral.
UAGGGAACCUUCGGCAAUGGACGAAAGUCUGACCGAGCAACGCCGCGUGAGUGAAGAAGGUUUUCGGAUCGUAAAACUCUGUUGGUAGAGAAGAACGUUGGUGAGAGUGGAAAGCUCAUCAAGUGACGGUAACUACCCAGAAAGGGACGGCUAACUACGUGCCA